Molecule: ribosomal RNA, 465 nt
Filed under: uncultured bacterium
Lineage: Bacteria
Description: partial 16S ribosomal RNA
Rfam family: Bacterial small subunit ribosomal RNA
Source: RNAcentral
CCUACGGGAGGCUGCAGUAGGGAAUCUUCCACAAUGGGCGAAAGCCUGAUGGAGCAACGCCGCGUGGGUGAAGAAGGUCUUCGGAUCGUAAAACACUGUUGUUCGAGAAGAAAGUGCGAGAGAGUAACUGUUCACGUUUCGACGGUAUCUAACCAGAAAGCAACGGCUAACUCCGUGCCAGCAGCCGCGGUAAUACGUAGGUUGCAAGCGUUAUCCGGAUUUAUUGGGCGUAAAGGGAACGCAGGCGGUUGUUUAAGUCCGAUGUGAAAGCCUUGGGCUUAACCGGAGUAGUGCAUUGGAAACUGGGAGACUUGAGUGUAGAAGAGGAGAGUGGAAUUCCAUGUGUAGCGGUGAAAUGCGUAGAGAUAUGGAAGAAUACCAGUGGCGAAAGCGGCUCUCUGGUCUGUAACUGACGCUGAGGUUCGAAAGCGUGGGUAGCAAACAGGAUUAGAUACCCGUGUAGUC